AUAGAUGGGGCAAUUUAGGUGAGAUCCCAUGUAGAUCUAACUUUCUAUUCACUCAUGGGAUCCGGGCGGUCCAGGGGGGGCACCACGGCUCCUCUCUUCUUGAGAAUCCAUACAUCCCUUAUCAGUGUACGGAGAGUUAUCUCUCAAGCACAGGUUGAGGUUCAUCCUCAAUGGGAAAAUGGAGCACCUAACAACACAUCUUCACAAACCAAGAACUACGAGAUCACCCUUUUAUUCUGGGGUGACGGAGAGAUCGUAUCAUUCGAGCCUUUUUUUCAUGCUUUUCCCGACGGUAUGGAGAAAGCAGCAAUCAAUAGGACUUUCAUAAUCCUCCCUUCCUUUCAGGAAGAACGUGAAAUUCUUUUUCCUUAA
This 372-nucleotide ribosomal RNA is filed under the name Triticum aestivum (bread wheat). RNAcentral describes it as "partial small subunit ribosomal RNA". The record is from RNAcentral. Lineage: Eukaryota; Viridiplantae; Streptophyta; Magnoliopsida; Poales; Poaceae.